GACGAACGCUGGCGGCGUGCCUAAUACAUGCAAGUUGAGCGCUGAAGGUUGGUACUUGUACCCACUGGAUGAGCAGCGAACGGGUGAGUAACGCGUGGGGAAUCUGCCUUUGAGCGGGGGACAACAUUUGGAAACGAAUGCUAAUACCGCAUAAAAACUUUAAACACAAGUUUUAAGUUUGAAAGAUGCAAUUGCAUCACUCAAAGAUGAUCCCGCGUUGUAUUAGCUAGUUGGUGAGGUAAAGGCUCACCAAGGCGAUGAUACAUAGCCGACCUGAGAGGGUGAUCGGCAACAAUGGGACUGAGACACGGCCCAAACUCCUACGGGAGGCAGCAGUAGGGAAUCUUAGGCAAUGGACGAAAGUCUGAGCGAGCAACGCCGCGUGAGUGAAGAAGGUUUUCGGAUCGUAAAACUCUGUUGGUAGAGAAGAAAGUUGGUGAGAGUGGAAAGCUCAUCAAGUGACGGUAACUACCCAGAAAGGGACGGCUAACUACGUG
This 497-nucleotide ribosomal RNA is filed under the name uncultured bacterium. Its description in RNAcentral is "partial 16S ribosomal RNA". It matches the Rfam family "Bacterial small subunit ribosomal RNA", at positions 28 to 507 of the family's 1533-position model. The record is from RNAcentral.